GAUGAACGCUGGCGGCGUGCUUAACACAUGCAAGUCGAACGGAAAGGCUCCUGCUUGCAGGGGUACUCGAGCGGCGAACGGGUGAGUAACACGUGGGUGAUCUGCCCUGCACUUCGGGAUAAGCCUGGGAAACUGGGUCUAAUACCGGAUAGGACGAUGGUUUGGAUGCCAUUGUGGAAAGUUUUUCGGUGUGGGAUGAGCUCGCGGCCUAUCAGCUUGUUGGUGGGGUAAUGGCCUACCAAGGCGUCGACGGGUAGCCGGCCUGAGAGGGUGUACGGCCACAUUGGGACUGAGAUACGGCCCAGACUCCUACGGGAGGCAGCAGUGGGGAAUAUUGCACAAUGGGCGCAAGCCUGAUGCAGCGACGCCGCGUGGGGGAUGACGGCCUUCGGGUUGUAAACUCCUUUCGCUAGGGACGAAGCGCAAGUGACGGUACCUGGAGAAGAAGCACCGGCUAACUACGUG
Molecule: ribosomal RNA, 465 nt
Filed under: uncultured bacterium
Lineage: Bacteria
Description: partial 16S ribosomal RNA
Rfam family: Bacterial small subunit ribosomal RNA
Source: RNAcentral